UGUCAUAUAAGUAAUAAGGGGAAAUACGGUUGCCAUACCCCACUGUUUUAUAUUCUUAAUAUCAAAUUUAAUUUUUUUUAAAAAAUAUUUUAGAAAAGGGAUAGAAAUCUAGUUGGAGACCCAAGCGUUUUAUAUACUCACUACUCAACGACUUCCACAAAUCGGAUUCAUAGACCUAACCCUCAAUUCUCUCUACUUUCAUCAAUUUCACCCUUUAAAAACCUAAUCUAACCCCUUUCUCUUUAACCGCCUCCUUCACACCUCCUCUAAUUAUUCAUUUUUGUCUUCUCUAAUUCUCCCUCUCUCAUCUUUCUACUUCAAUUUUGUAUUUGAAAUUUACGGGUGUAUGUUGUGUAUUUACCUGUAUUAAUUUUCUAUGGAGUCUUAUGUUUAAUUGAUUGAAGAUCUGAAUCAAUUAGUUUGAAUCUUGGUAAAUACAUAGCAUAUUCAUGAUUCGGAUGGUUAUGUGUUUAUACUGAACAAGAUUUUGUUUUUCAAUUCGGUUUGUCUAUUUUAUAAAGCUCCAUCUAAUUCAUCUUAGAUUCCCCAUAGCCGGAUGAUCGAGGCCUUGUUUUCUCUGUCAAAUAAUCAGAACUGCAGAAGUGAUAAAGAGCUGAAGAUUCAAGACUUGGAUUUGAGAUAAGAGAGAAGUGCUCGAUCGUCUUUUUUUUUUGGGGGGUUUUCAUCAUGUAAUUGAGUUUUGAUGUUAUAUGUAGUUGCUAAUUGUAAGAUCUUGUAGUUCAUUUUUUUUGUAAACAAAGUUAUAGUUGGAUGCAAUUGGAAUAUAAUGAUAUGUUUGUUGUUACCUUA
This is a long non-coding RNA of Spinacia oleracea (spinach), 810 nucleotides long. RefSeq lists it as uncharacterized. The record is from RefSeq and is a predicted model, not a curated record. The transcript has 2 exons. Lineage: Eukaryota; Viridiplantae; Streptophyta; Magnoliopsida; Caryophyllales; Amaranthaceae.